Non-coding RNA from Podarcis lilfordi (Lilford's wall lizard), 139 nucleotides. The record is from the annotation of a GenBank genome assembly. Lineage: Eukaryota; Metazoa; Chordata; Lepidosauria; Squamata; Lacertidae.
AAGAACGGACCUCCAGAAUGAAUUAAGUUCUUAACCCGAGGUACCACUGUACCAACAGACACUGUAAGCGUUCUGUUACAGUACUUUUCUGGAAGACUAUACAGUGGUACCUCUGGUUACGUACUUAAUUCAUUACGGA